This 209-nucleotide ribosomal RNA is filed under the name uncultured bacterium. RNAcentral's name for it is "partial 16S ribosomal RNA". It matches the Rfam family "Bacterial small subunit ribosomal RNA", at positions 1282 to 1500 of the family's 1533-position model. The record is from RNAcentral.
CCGAUCCCAGUUCGGAUUGCAGGCUGCAACUCGCCUGCAUGAAGUUGGAGUUGCUAGUAAUCGCGGAUCAGAAUGCCGCGGUGAAUGCGUUCCCGGGUCUUGUACACACCGCCCGUCACACCACGGAAGUUGGGGGUGCCCAAAGUUGGCAGGAUAAUAUGUUACCUACGGCAAAACCGAUGACUGGGGUGAAGUCGUAACAAGGUAUC